AUGAACGCUGGCGGCGUGCCUAAUCCAUGCAAGUCGAGCGCACGGACGAGAAGCUUGCUUCUCUGAUGUUAGCGGCGGACGGGUGAGUAACACGUGGAUAACCUACCUAUAAGACUGGGAUAACUUCGGGAAACCGUAGCUAAUACCGGAUAAUAUUUUGAACCGCAUGGUUCAAAAGUGAAAGACGGUCUUGCUGUCACUUAUAGCUGGAUCCGCGCUGCAUUAGCUAGUUGGUAAGGUAACGGCUUACCAAGGCAACGAUGCAUAGCCGACCUGAGAGGGUGAUCGGCCACACUGGAACUGAGACACGGUCCAGACUCCUACGGGAGGCAGCAGUAGGGAAUCUUCCGCAAUGGGCGAAAGCCUGACGGAGCAACGCCGCGUGAGUGAUGAAGGUCUUCGGAUCGUAAAACUCUGUUAUUAGGGAAGAACAUAUGUGUAAGUAACUGUGCACAUCUUGACGGUACCUAAUCAGAAAGCCACGGCUAACUACGUG
This 496-nucleotide ribosomal RNA is filed under the name uncultured bacterium. RNAcentral's name for it is "partial 16S ribosomal RNA". It matches the Rfam family "Bacterial small subunit ribosomal RNA", at positions 29 to 507 of the family's 1533-position model. The record is from RNAcentral.